This 442-nucleotide ribosomal RNA is filed under the name uncultured bacterium. Its description in RNAcentral is "bacterial SSU rRNA". It matches the Rfam family "Bacterial small subunit ribosomal RNA", at positions 354 to 796 of the family's 1533-position model. The record is from RNAcentral.
GUGAGGAAUAUUGCGCAAUGGACGAAAGUCUGACGCAGCAACGCCGCGUGCGGGAUGAAGGCCCUUUGGGUCGUAAACCGCUGUAGCAGGGAAAAAAUAUCCCGUUUGACGGGAUUGAUGGUACCCUGAAAGUAAGCCUCGGCUAACUACGUGCCAGCAGCCGCGGUAAUACGUAGGAGGCAAGCGUUGUCCGGAUUUACUGGGUGUAAAGGGUCCGCAGGCGGGCGUUUAAGUCGGUGGUGAAAGCCUACAGCUUAACUGUAGAAUUGCCUCCGAUACUGGACGUCUUGAAUAUGGUAGAGGGCAACGGAAUUCCAGGUGUAGCGGUGAAAUGCUUAGAUAUCUGGAAGAACACCGGUUGCGAAGGCUGUUGCCUGGGCCAUUAUUGACGCUCAUGGACGAAAGCGUGGGGAUCAAACAGGAUUAGAUACCCCAGUAGUCC